CAGUAGCCACGGUAAUGCGGAGGGGGCUAGCGUUGUUCGGAAUUACUGGGCGUAAAGCGCACGUAGGCGGAUCAGAAAGUCAGAGGUGAAAUCCCAGGGCUCAACCUUGGAACUGCCUUUGAAACUCUUGGUCUUGAGGUCGAGAGAGGUGAGUGGAAUUCCGAGUGUAGAGGUGAAAUUCGUAGAUAUUCGGAGGAACACCAGUGGCGAAGGCGGCUCACUGGCUCGAUACUGACGCUGAGGUGUGAAAGCGUGGGGAGCAAACAGGAUUAGAGACCCGCGUAGUCCCUGUCUCUUAUAC
This 301-nucleotide ribosomal RNA is filed under the name uncultured bacterium. RNAcentral describes it as "partial 16S ribosomal RNA". It matches the Rfam family "Bacterial small subunit ribosomal RNA", at positions 509 to 807 of the family's 1533-position model. The record is from RNAcentral.